This 439-nucleotide ribosomal RNA is filed under the name uncultured bacterium. RNAcentral's name for it is "partial 16S ribosomal RNA". It matches the Rfam family "Bacterial small subunit ribosomal RNA", at positions 339 to 795 of the family's 1533-position model. The record is from RNAcentral.
CUACGGGCUGCUGCAGUGAGGAAUAUUGCACAAUGGGGGGAACCCUGAUGCAGCAACGCCGCGUGGAGGAUGACGCAUUUCGGUGUGUAAACUCCUUUUAUAUGUCAAGAAAAUGACGGUAGCAUAUGAAUAAGCACCGGCUAACUCCGUGCCAGCAGCCGCGGUAAUACGGAGGGUGCAAGCGUUACUCGGAAUCACUGGGCGUAAAGGACGCGUAGGCGGGUUGGAAAGUCAGGUGUGAAAUCCUACAGCUUAACUGUAGAACUGCACUUGAAACUUCUAAUCUAGAGUAUGGGAGGGGGAGAUGGAAUUAGUGGUGUAGGGGUAAAAUCCGUAGAUAUCACUAGGAAUACCUAAAGCGAAGGCGAUCUCCUGGAACAUUACUGACGCUAAGGCGUGAAAGCGUGGGGAGCAAACAGGAUUAGAUACCCUAGUAGUC